RNAcentral lists this non-coding RNA (28 nucleotides) under Mus musculus (house mouse). RNAcentral also lists the same sequence under 1 other name. Lineage: Eukaryota; Metazoa; Chordata; Mammalia; Rodentia; Muridae. The record is from RNAcentral.
UCUGAAGUUUGGGACUGAGAGACUGUCA